AGAGCGAACGCUGGCGGCAGGCCUAACACAUGCAAGUCGAGCGCCCGUAGCAAUACGGGAGCGGCAGACGGGAUAGUAACACGUGGGAACGCGCCCUUCGGUUCGGAAUAACUCAGGGAAACUUGAGCUAAUACCGGAUACGCCCUUACGGGGAAAGAUUUAUUGCCGAAGGAACGGCCCGCGUCCGAUUAGCUAGUUGGUGAGGUAAUGGCUCACCAAGGCUCCGAUCGGUAGCUGGUCUGAGAGGAUGACCAGCAUCACUGGGACUGAGACACAGCCCAGACUCCUACGGGAGGCAGCAGUGGGGAAUAUUGGACAAUGGGCGCAAGCCUGAUCCAGCCAUGCCGCGUGGAUGAUGAAGGCCUUAGGGUUGUAAAGUCCUUUUAACGGGGAGAUAAUGACGGUACCGUAGAAUAAGCCCGGCUAACUUCGCGCCAGCAGCCGC
Molecule: ribosomal RNA, 445 nt
Filed under: uncultured bacterium
Lineage: Bacteria
Description: SSU rRNA
Rfam family: Bacterial small subunit ribosomal RNA
Source: RNAcentral